CAAGUCGCACGAGAAAGUGGAGCAAUCCAUGAGUAAAGUGGCGUACGGGUGAGUAACACGUGACUAACCUACCCUCGAGUGGGGAAUAACUUCGGGAAACCGAGGCUAAUACCGCAUAACAUCUUCUGGCUGAGAUGCCGGUUGAUCAAAGCAGCGAUGGGCUUGAGGAGGGGGUCGCGGCUGAUUAGCUAGUUGGUGAGGUAACGGCUCACCAAGGCGAUGAUCAGUAGCCGGCCUGAGAGGGCGCUCGGUCACACUGGAACUGAAACACGGUCCAGACUCCUACGGGAGGCAGCAGUGGGGAAUUUUGCGCAAUGGGGGAAACCCUGACGCAGCAACGCCGCGUGGAGGAUGAAGUCCCUUGGGACGUAAACUCCUUUCGAUCGGGACGAUUAUGACGGUACCGGAAGAAGAAGCCCCGGCUAACUUCGUGCCAGCAGCCGCGGUAAUACGAGGGGGGCAAGCGUUGUUCGGAAUUAUUGGGCGUAAAGGGCGCGUAGGCGGUGCGGUAAGUCUGUUGUGAAAUCUCCGGGCUCAACUCGGAGCUUGCAUCAGAAACUGCCGUGCUUGAGUGUGGGAGAGGUGAGUGGAAUUCCCGGUGUAGCCGUGAAAUGCGUAGAUAUCGGGAGGAACACCUGUGGCGAAAGCGGCUCACUGGACCACAACUGACGCUGAUGCGCGAAAGCUAGGGGAGCAAACAGGAUUAGAUACCCUGGUAGUCCUAGCCCUAAACGAUGAUCGCUUGGUGUGAUAGGUACCCAAUCCUAUCGUGCCGGAGCUAACGCGUUAAGCGAUCCGCCUGGGGAGUACGGUCGCAAGGCUGAAACUCAAAGGAAUUGACGGGGGCCCGCACAA
This 855-nucleotide ribosomal RNA is filed under the name uncultured Terriglobales bacterium. RNAcentral describes it as "bacterial SSU rRNA". It matches the Rfam family "Bacterial small subunit ribosomal RNA", at positions 58 to 928 of the family's 1533-position model. The record is from RNAcentral. Lineage: Bacteria; Pseudomonadati; Acidobacteriota; Terriglobia; Terriglobales.